This 231-nucleotide ribosomal RNA is filed under the name uncultured Staphylococcus sp. Its description in RNAcentral is "partial 16S ribosomal RNA". It matches the Rfam family "Bacterial small subunit ribosomal RNA", at positions 109 to 334 of the family's 1533-position model. Lineage: Bacteria; Bacillati; Bacillota; Bacilli; Caryophanales; Staphylococcaceae. The record is from RNAcentral.
AGUAGCACGUGGAUAACCUACCUAUAAGACUGGGAUAACUUCGGGAAACCGGAGCUAAUACCGGAUAAUAUUUUGGACCGCAUGGUUCAAAAGUGAAAGACGGUCUUGCUGUCACUUAUAGAUGGAUCCGCGCUGCAUUAGCUAGUUGGUAAGGUAACGGCUUACCAAGGCAACGAUGCAUAGCCGACCUGAGAGGGUGAUCGGCCACACUGGAACUGAGACACGGUCCAG